RNAcentral lists this ribosomal RNA (777 nucleotides) under uncultured bacterium. RNAcentral describes it as "bacterial SSU rRNA". It matches the Rfam family "Bacterial small subunit ribosomal RNA", at positions 8 to 796 of the family's 1533-position model. The record is from RNAcentral.
AGAGUUUGAUCAUGGCUCAGGAUAAACGCUGGCGGCGUGCCUAACACAUGCAAGUCGAACGUCCUCCCUUUUUUUGAGGGAGGGAGUGGCGGACGGGUGAGUAAGACAUGGGUGACCUACCCCCCCGUGAGGGAUACCGGCGAGAAAUCGCCGACAAGCCCGCAUAGGGUCGCUCUGCUAGAGCGGAGCGAGCAAAGCUUCUUUUCGGAGAGGCGCGAGGGGAUGGGCCUGUGGCCGAUUAGCUAGUUGGGGGGGUAAGAGCCUCCCAAGGCGACGAUCGGUAGCUGGUCUGAGAGGACGAACAGCCACACUGGGAUUGAGAACGGCCCAGACUCCUACGGGGGGCAGCAGUGAGGAAUUUUCCGCAAUGGACGCAAGUCUGACGGAGCAACGCCGCGUGCAGGAGGACGCUUUUCGGAGUGUAAACUGCUUUUCUGUGGGACGAGGAUGGACGGUACCACAGGAAGAAGCCCCGGCUAACUACGUGCCAGCAGCCGCGGUAAUACGUAGGGGGCGAGCGUUGUCCGGAGUUACUGGGCGUAAAGGGCAUGCAGGCGGUCUGGCGCGUUUUGUGUGACAGCGGGGGGGCUCAACUCCCCGAGCAUGCGAAAGACGGUUGGACUUGAGGGCUCGAGAGGGACACGGAAUUCCGGGUGGAGUGGUGAAAUGCGUAGAGAUCCGGAGGAACACCGAAGGCGAAGGCAGUGUCCUGGCGAGUGACUGACGCUGAGGUGCGAAAGCCAGGGGAGCGAACGGGAUUAGAUACCCCAGUAGUCC